This 73-nucleotide transfer RNA is filed under the name Cordylochernes scorpioides. Its description in RNAcentral is "tRNA-Thr". The record is from RNAcentral. Lineage: Eukaryota; Metazoa; Arthropoda; Arachnida; Pseudoscorpiones; Chernetidae.
GUCCAGGGAUGGGAAUCGAACCCACAGUGUACCACUUACCGGGCAGAUGCCAUGUCCACUAGGCUACCCUGGA